RNAcentral lists this transfer RNA (72 nucleotides) under Bos taurus (domestic cattle). It matches the Rfam family "tRNA". From Rfam's summary of the family: Transfer RNA (tRNA) molecules are approximately 80 nucleotides in length. Their secondary structure includes four short double-helical elements and three loops (D, anti-codon, and T loops). Further hydrogen bonds mediate the characteristic L-shaped molecular structure. tRNAs have two regions of fundamental functional importance: the anti-codon, which is responsible for specific mRNA codon recognition, and the 3' end, to which the tRNAs corresponding amino acid is attached (by aminoacyl-tRNA synthetases). tRNAs cope with the degeneracy of the genetic code in two manners: having more than one tRNA (with a specific anti-codon) for a particular amino acid; and 'wobble' base-pairing, i.e. permitting non-standard base-pairing at the 3rd anti-codon position. The record is from Rfam by way of RNAcentral. Lineage: Eukaryota; Metazoa; Chordata; Mammalia; Artiodactyla; Bovidae. RNAcentral also lists the same sequence under 4 other names.
UCCCUACUGGCUCAGUCGGUAAAGAAUCUGCCUGCAAUGCAGAAGACCCAGUUUCGAUCCUUGGGUCGGGAA